GUAGUCGUGGCCGAGUGGUUAAGGCGAUGGACUAGAAAUCCAUUGAGCUCUGCUGCGCAGGUUCGAAUCCUGCCGACUACG
This 81-nucleotide transfer RNA is filed under the name Saccoglossus kowalevskii. RNAcentral's name for it is "tRNA-Ser". It matches the Rfam family "tRNA". From Rfam's summary of the family: Transfer RNA (tRNA) molecules are approximately 80 nucleotides in length. The record is from RNAcentral. Lineage: Eukaryota; Metazoa; Hemichordata; Enteropneusta; Harrimaniidae.